RNAcentral lists this ribosomal RNA (253 nucleotides) under uncultured bacterium. RNAcentral describes it as "partial 16S ribosomal RNA". It matches the Rfam family "Bacterial small subunit ribosomal RNA", at positions 524 to 776 of the family's 1533-position model. The record is from RNAcentral.
UACAGAGGUCUCAAGCGUUGUUCGGAUUCAUUGGGCGUAAAGGGUGCGUAGGCGGCGCCGUAAGUCGGAUGUGAAAUCUCAGGGCUCAACCCUGAAACUGCAUUCGAUACUGCGGUGCUCGAGGACUCGAGAGGAGAUUGGAAUUCACGGUGUAGCAGUGAAAUGCGUAGAUAUCGUGAGGAAGACCAGUGGCGAAGGCGGAUCUCUGGAGAGUUCCUGACGCUGAGGCACGAAGGUCAGGGGAGCAAACGGG